UCCCUGAAGGACUAGUGGUUAGGCCUCAGCGCUCUCACCGCCGCGGCUCGGGUUGGAUUCCUGCCAGGGAA
This 71-nucleotide transfer RNA is filed under the name Pangasius djambal. Its description in RNAcentral is "tRNA-Glu". The record is from RNAcentral. Lineage: Eukaryota; Metazoa; Chordata; Actinopteri; Siluriformes; Pangasiidae.